This 584-nucleotide ribosomal RNA is filed under the name Bacillus thuringiensis. RNAcentral describes it as "bacterial SSU rRNA". It matches the Rfam family "Bacterial small subunit ribosomal RNA", at positions 95 to 664 of the family's 1533-position model. Lineage: Bacteria; Bacillati; Bacillota; Bacilli; Caryophanales; Bacillaceae. The record is from RNAcentral.
GCGGCGGACGGGUGAGUAACGCGUGGGUAACCUGCCCAUAAGACUGGGAUAACUCCGGGAAACCGGGGCUAAUACCGGAUAACAUUUUGAACUGCAUGGUUCGAAAUUGAAAGGCGGCUUCGGCUGUCACUUAUGGAUGGACCCGCGUCGCAUUAGCUAGUUGGUGAGGUAACGGCUCACCAAGGCAACGAUGCGUAGCCGACCUGAGAGGGUGAUCGGCCACACUGGGACUGAGACACGGCCCAGACUCCUACGGGAGGCAGCAGUAGGGAAUCUUCCGCAAUGGACGAAAGUCUGACGGAGCAACGCCGCGUGAGUGAUGAAGGCUUUCGGGUCGUAAAACUCUGUUGUUAGGGAAGAACAAGUGCUAGUUGAAUAAGCUGGCACCUUGACGGUACCUAACCAGAAAGCCACGGCUAACUACGUGCCAGCAGCCGCGGUAAUACGUAGGUGGCAAGCGUUAUCCGGAAUUAUUGGGCGUAAAGCGCGCGCAGGUGGUUUCUUAAGUCUGAUGUGAAAGCCCACGGCUCAACCGUGGAGGGUCAUUGGAAACUGGGAGACUUGAGUGCAGAAGAGGAAAGUGG